Molecule: ribosomal RNA, 542 nt
Filed under: Dechloromonas sp. enrichment culture
Lineage: Bacteria; Pseudomonadati; Pseudomonadota; Betaproteobacteria; Rhodocyclales; Azonexaceae
Description: bacterial SSU rRNA
Rfam family: Bacterial small subunit ribosomal RNA
Source: RNAcentral
GGCGGCACGCUGAUCCAGCCAUGCCGCGUGAGUGAAGAAGGCCUUCGGGUUGUAAAGCUCUUUCGGCCGGGAAGAAAUCGCAUAGGUUAAUACCCUGUGUGGAUGACGGUACCGGAAUAAGAAGCACCGGCUAACUACGUGCCAGCAGCCGCGGUAAUACGUAGGGUGCGAGCGUUAAUCGGAAUUACUGGGCGUAAAGCGUGCGCAGGCGGUUUCGUAAGACAGAGGUGAAAUCCCCGGGCUCAACCUGGGAACUGCCUUUGUGACUGCGAAGCUAGAGUACGGCAGAGGGGGGUGGAAUUCCACGUGUAGCAGUGAAAUGCGUAGAGAUGUGGAAGAACACCGAUGGCGAAGGCAGCCCCCUGGGCCGAUACUGACGCUCAUGCACGAAAGCGUGGGUAGCAAACAGGAUUACAUACCCUGGUAGUCCACGCCCUAAACGAUGUCAACUAGGUGUUGGGUGGGUAAAACCAUUUAGUACCGUAGCUAACGCGUGAAGUUGACCGCCUGGGGAGUACGGCCGCAAGGUUAAAACUCAAGGA